AUUGAACGCUGGCGGCAGGCUUAACACAUGCAAGUCGAGCGAUGAAGCUCCUUCGGGAGUGGAUUAGCGGCGGACGGGUGAGUAACACGUGGGUAACCUGCCUCAUAGAGGGGAAUAGCCUUCCGAAAGGAAGAUUAAUACCGCAUAAGAUUGUAGUGCCGCAUGGUAUAGCAAUUAAAGGAGUAAUCCGCUAUGAGAUGGACCCGCGUCGCAUUAGCUAGUUGGUGAGGUAACGGCGCACCAAGGCGACGAUGCGUAGCCGACCUGAGAGGGUGAUCGGCCACAUUGGGACUGAGACACGGCCCAGACUCCUACGGGAGGCAGCAGUGGGGAAUAUUGCACAAUGGGGGAAACCCUGAUGCAGCAACGCCGCGUGAGUGAUGACGGUCUUCGGAUUGUAAAGCUCUGUCUUCAGGGACGAUAAUGACGGUACCUGAGGAGGAAGCCACGGCUAACUACGUGCCAGCCGCCGCCGUAA
This 478-nucleotide ribosomal RNA is filed under the name uncultured bacterium. RNAcentral's name for it is "partial 16S ribosomal RNA". It matches the Rfam family "Bacterial small subunit ribosomal RNA", at positions 30 to 523 of the family's 1533-position model. The record is from RNAcentral.